Molecule: ribosomal RNA, 433 nt
Filed under: uncultured bacterium
Lineage: Bacteria
Description: bacterial SSU rRNA
Rfam family: Bacterial small subunit ribosomal RNA
Source: RNAcentral
AACGAACGCUGGCGGCAUGCCUAACACAUGCAAGUCGAACGAAGCCUUCGGGCUUAGUGGCGCACGGGUGCGUAACGCGCGGGAAUCUGCCCUUGGGUUCGGAAUAACAGUUAGAAAUGACUGCUAAUACCGGAUGAUGUCUUCGGACCAAAGAUUUAUCGCCCAAGGAUGAGCCCGCGUAGGAUUAGGUAGUUGGUGGGGUAAAGGCCUACCAAGCCGACGAUCCUUAGCUGGUCUGAGAGGAUGAUCAGCCACACUGGGACUGAGACACGGCCCAGACUCCUACGGGAGGCAGCAGUGGGGAAUAUUGGACAAUGGGGGCAACCCUGAUCCAGCAAUGCCGCGUGAGUGAUGAAGGCCUUAGGGUCGUAAAGCUCUUUUACCAGGGAUGAUAAUGACAGUACCUGGAGAAUAAGCUCCGGCUAACUCCGUG